Non-coding RNA from Bactrocera oleae (olive fruit fly), 1120 nucleotides. The record is from RefSeq and is a predicted model, not a curated record. NCBI's taxonomy places the organism in Eukaryota, Metazoa, Arthropoda, Insecta, Diptera, Tephritidae.
CGAAAUAUUGCUAUAUUAGUUUAUUAAACACAAAUUUUCUGGCACAAUACAAAAUUUUUUAUAAUUUAAAUUUCUUUUCCAAGUAUUUUAUUGACAGAAGACAUCUAGGAGUACCCUUUUCAAAAUGUCUUUAACACUCAAUUUUCAAAAUUGCGACCGAGGCAACCAAACGCGACGACUAACAACUUUAGACUGUUGUGCUGAAGUUCCAAUUGGAUUGGUGUACCUUAGCGGGAUAGCAGCAACGCCGGUUGGGACAUACACACGCACCUUCGUGCAAUGGGCAAGCGAGUGCAAUUUUAUAUGUAGAGAUCUUUUGCACCGAAGGGAUAUUUUGUUGGGAAGUUUUUGAUUUUCCAGAGAGUCAGCAAAGUGGGAAUCAGCGUUGCGUAUGAAAAGAGCGACAAAGAAUUUGAAUAACAAUGUGGAUGAGAGCGAGCGGUUGUGGGAGUUAUGUUCCUUUUUUCCUAUAUAGACAUAUACUUAUGUUUAAGUAUGAGCAUAUUUCGUGGAUUUCGUUAGGUUUUAAGGAAGACCGCACGAAACUCUUAAAUAUGCCAGAAAAGUUUCUACGGAAAAGAUUUAAUUUAGAUAUAAUUUGAAUUGGACAUACUUACUGAGAUUUUAAAGAGAUAUUUUCAAAACUCGACUUCAAGCCUACGACAACAGUGGAAUGAACCUUCAGAUCUUUUGACAAUCAUAGCCACUCAUUCUAUGCUUUAUUCAAAGAGUAUCAUCGCAGCUGAGGAGACCAGCAGCAACUUUUUAAUCUUUCAUUGGUUCGAGGGCUCGAAAUCUACACUUAACCAGAACGGAAGGUAAUCAACAACAGGGUUUUUAGUCACCAAGAACUCAAUAAUAUGUCAAUUCUUCCCGCAAUAUCUAUUCUGUUAAACUCCUUUGGGAUAUCUGAAAAUGCUGAAAGAUUUGGAGCGUUCAAUGAUGUCAUGAUGCCGGUAAUUAUGAGUACUUUAAAGAAAGUCUGAAUUCACAUAUUUGAAAGAAAGACAAUAUUCUCACAAGCUAUAUGACCAAGAGAACAGUCCCACAAUCUGAAAAAAUCAAAAUCAAACAAUAAAUCGCGAAGAAAACUCCAUAGUUAGCAAUCCUUGCAGAAAAA